UCCUCUCUCUCUCUCUCUCCUCUCCUCUCCUCUCCUCUCCUCUCCUCUCUCAAUACGAUUUGUAAGCUCGCCGGAGUAAAUCAACAACACAGAUGGCGCAGAGAACUGAAAAGGAAGAGACAGAGUUCAAGGCCCUCGAAACCUUGACGACGACAACAACCCCGACGCUCUGCUCCAACAACUGCGGCGUCACAGCGUGUCCAUCAACCAACAACAUGUGCCAGAAAUGUUUCAACGCCGCCGCCGCCGGUAUAGAUCCAAAUCCGAUCGUAAAAAGAUCAGCCAGAUCCGUCAGUCUCCGGUCAACGCCAGCCAAAGCCGCGAUCCGUCCCAGGGAGACCGAUCCGGUCAAGAGAGACCAUCAUCAACAGACCGUAAACCGAUGCUCCGGUUGUCGGAAGAAUGUCGGGUUGACCGGAUUCAGAUGCCGAUGCGGCGACCUUUUCUGCGCGUAGCACUGGUACUCGGAUCGCCACGAUUGCAGCUACGACUACAAAAUCGCCGGUAGGGAGGCAAUCGCUAGGGAGAAUCCGAGUACACACAGGUAUACAUCUUGUCUUAAACAAACAUAAGCCCGGUUAUGGAGUAUUGAAGACACGUGUCGUCUCUAUAGGAAAGGACUUUCCACGUGGACACACAGGAGAGACACCAACAAUUUUAUAUAUAUAUAGAUAUGGAUGACUUACUCUUUAAUAAAUAAUUUUGAAGUAGACAAUCUACUCUAUUAAAAUAGAGUCAUUAUUUUAUCUACCAUAAAAAGUCUAUUUUAGACCACUAACUAAAAAUUUAACAAAAUAUCCUAAAUUUAUACAUAUAAAUCUAAAUAAUAACAUUCCGGUAAAAAAUCCAAUCCAAAUCUGUUAUGCAAUUUUUGUUUUACCAACCAUAUUUAAUCUAGGCUAGAUUUUAUGUAUUUUUGGGUAGUUAAAUAUGAUACAUUAAUUUUUUUUUUCAAAAUAUAAUAUUAUCUAAUUUAAUUUUCUCACAUAAAAUAUUUUGAUAAUAAAAACUUUUAAUAAUUCACAUAAAACUAAUGUUUAAAAUUAAAUUAUUAAUAUGAUGUUAAAUUUUUUAAAUAAAUAAAUAAAAAUAUGCGGUGAAUAUAUGAUUAGUACAAUUUCAUCAAAAAUAAAUUUCAAUCUUUAUAUAUAUAUAUAUAUAUAUACAGUUUCAAAGUAAUAUUUUUUACACAAUCAAAAAUUGGUAUAAAUAUAUAUUUUUAUAAUUUUUUUUAUAUUUUCUACAACAAAAAUAAAUUCGCACAGACGUGCGGAUUCAACUCUUUUUUUUUAACACCACGUGCGGAUUCAACUCUAGUUAAUUUCUAAGAGCAUGUUUAACGGAAAAAUCUAGUGGAAAUAUCAGCUAUUGGAAAAAAAAAAUUAAAAUAAUAAAAAGACAUGUGAAAUGGUAAGAAAAGCUUCUAUUGGGGCACCUUUCAGGUACAGGUUGUAACACAUGUUACCAACGGUGGGGAUGUUCUUUGGAGAUCUUAGCACUGAAAAAUUGUUAUUUUACUGCAUGUUAAUUAUUUAUUUAAAUUAAUUUAUUUUACAUAAAAGUAGACAAUUGAACUAAAGACAGGUGGUCCGAUAACAUCUUUUUUAAGAUUCUUUUGGGUUUCUCUCUCUUAUUUUUUCUUAUUAGAUAUCCAUUAUCAUAUCUUCCAUAGAAAAGCUAUAAAGAAAAAUAAAGUCAUUUUAUCAUUUAAAAAUGAUUUUUUUUCUUUCUCCUAGAAACUUUAACAUCUUGUUGAUCAAAAAAAAAAGAAACUUUAACAUCUCAAAUGAAACUCUUCAAUAAAACAUAGAAACAAACUCAUCGAUGCUCUUAUCAGAACUACCUCCUUCAGAAACAGCUUCUAGAGCCAACACUUUCCACUUCUCAGCAUUCCUUCUCAUCUCUUUCGCUUUCUUUAUUUAUGUUAAGAUUAAUUAUAUUUUAGUUAAAAUGUUUUAAUGAGGGGGUUCAUUGAAUGAUUUAAUGUGAUAGUCAAUGAGGAUGCAUGAAUCCAACCGACUUCCAUAACGAUUCCAAAAUUCAACCAAGGGUAGAAGAAGUGGAAUCGAACAGCCAAAUACGACGCCUUCCAACUGACAUUGAUCGGAAUUCAGCGUGGCCGGUGCAUCAAAUUUUCAUUGGCCGUAGGUUUGAACCGGAGUUGUUAAAACGCAGCAGAUCUGUCUUUCGUUCAUCGACAUUAUUUUUGGAGAAGAAGCCGUCAAAUGUGGGACUUCCUGUUACCCUAGAGCCCAGAAACCCAAUUAUGUUAAGCCCAAAACACUGAUCUGAAAUAUUUAUUAACAAAAAGAGAAAAGCCCAUUAAUAAUCGUGAUUAAGUGAAACGGUGAGUAUCAUCCAACCCGGACACAUGUCGGCCUGUCAGGAACCGACUUUAUGACGUGGCAAAGCAGGAGUGAGGCGAACAUAUUUUUAUAUAUAUAGAUAGAUAUAGAUUAUAUUCUGUUUUGAAAAAAUGAAGAAACAUGUUCGGUAAAUUGUAAACAAUUUGGCCCAAAUAUCAAAAAAAAAAAAUCUGGGCCCAUAUCCCUUCAUAUCUCAAUUGUAAAAAUCAUAAUUAGUAAGUUAUACUCUUUUGUUUUUCAACAAAGUAAUUUAUACAGAAAAAAGAAAUGAUAGAGAACGCAUAUUGCCUCGCUGUAUGCAUUCUAGAAUCACUAAAACAACAUUUAAAUCAACUGUAAUUCCCCUAAAGCAGUGAGGGUGUGUACGUAAUUUACACCUGAAGACGGAAAGCGAGGGGUGGUGGAGAGAGAGAGAUGAUAAGAGUUGGAAUCGCGUCUCUAUAAAGCCCAUAUAUUCCAUUCACCUCCUCUCUCUCUCUCUCUCCUCUCCUCUCCUCUCCUCUCCUCUCCUCUCUCAAUACGAUUUGUAAGCUCGCCGGAGUAAAUCAACAACACAGAUGGCGCAGAGAACUGAAAAGGAAGAGACAGAGUUCAAGGCCCUCGAAACCUUGACGACGACAACAACCCCGACGCUCUGCUCCAACAACUGCGGCGUCACAGCGUGUCCAUCAACCAACAACAUGUGCCAGAAAUGUUUCAACGCCGCCGCCGCCGGUAUAGAUCCAAAUCCGAUCGUAAAAAGAUCAGCCAGAUCCGUCAGUCUCCGGUCAACGCCAG
RNAcentral lists this long non-coding RNA (3143 nucleotides) under Brassica napus (rape). RNAcentral's name for it is "long non-coding RNA (BNAP_LNC016795)". The record is from RNAcentral. Lineage: Eukaryota; Viridiplantae; Streptophyta; Magnoliopsida; Brassicales; Brassicaceae.